RNAcentral lists this ribosomal RNA (253 nucleotides) under uncultured bacterium. RNAcentral describes it as "partial 16S ribosomal RNA". It matches the Rfam family "Bacterial small subunit ribosomal RNA", at positions 524 to 776 of the family's 1533-position model. The record is from RNAcentral.
UACGGAGGGGACUAGCGUUGUUCGGAAUUACUGGGCGUAAAGCGCACGUAGGCGGAUUUGUAAGUCAGGGGUGAAAGCCCGGGGCUCAACCCCGGAACUGCCUUUGAUACUGCAAAUCUCGAGUCCGGAAGAGGUGAGUGGAAUUCCUAGUGUAGAGGUGAAAUUCGUAGAUAUUAGGAAGAACACCAGUGGCGAAGGCGGCUCACUGGUCCGGUACUGACGCUGAGGUGCGAAAGCGUGGGGAGCAAACGGG